RNAcentral lists this ribosomal RNA (564 nucleotides) under Trichoderma harzianum. RNAcentral describes it as "eukaryotic LSU rRNA". The stretch from base 186 to 339 matches the Rfam family "5.8S ribosomal RNA". The record is from RNAcentral. Lineage: Eukaryota; Fungi; Ascomycota; Sordariomycetes; Hypocreales; Hypocreaceae.
UCCCAACCCAUGUGAACGUUACCAAACUGUUGCCUCGGCGGGAUCUCUGCCCCGGGUGCGUCGCAGCCCCGGACCAAGGCGCCCGCCGGAGGACCAACCAAAACUCUUUUUGUAUACCCCCUCGCGGGUUUUUUAUAAUCUGAGCCUUCUCGGCGCCUCUCGUAGGCGUUUCGAAAAUGAAUCAAAACUUUCAACAACGGAUCUCUUGGUUCUGGCAUCGAUGAAGAACGCAGCGAAAUGCGAUAAGUAAUGUGAAUUGCAGAAUUCAGUGAAUCAUCGAAUCUUUGAACGCACAUUGCGCCCGCCAGUAUUCUGGCGGGCAUGCCUGUCCGAGCGUCAUUUCAACCCUCGAACCCCUCCGGGGGGUCGGCGUUGGGGAUCGGCCCUGCCUCUUGGCGGUGGCCGUCUCCGAAAUACAGUGGCGGUCUCGCCGCAGCCUCUCCUGCGCAGUAGUUUGCACACUCGCAUCGGGAGCGCGGCGCGUCCACAGCCGUUAAACACCCAACUUCUGAAAUGUUGACCUCGGAUCAGGUAGGAAUACCCGCUGAACUUAAGCAUAUCAAU